This 255-nucleotide ribosomal RNA is filed under the name uncultured bacterium. Its description in RNAcentral is "partial 16S ribosomal RNA". It matches the Rfam family "Bacterial small subunit ribosomal RNA", at positions 524 to 776 of the family's 1533-position model. The record is from RNAcentral.
UACGUAGGGUGCAAGCGUUGUCCGGAAUUAUUGGGCGUAAAGAGCUCGUAGGCGGUUUGUUGCGUCGGCUGUGAAAUCCCGAGGCUCAACCUCGGGUCUGCAGUCGAUACGAGCAAACUAGAGUGUUGCAGGGGAGACUGGAAUUCCUGGUGUAGCGGUGAAAUGCGCAGAUAUCAGGAGGAACACCGGUGGCGAAGGCGGGGUCUCUGGGCAACAACUGACGCUGGAGGAGCGAAAGCGUGGGGAGCAAACAGG